This 424-nucleotide ribosomal RNA is filed under the name Fusobacteriota bacterium. RNAcentral's name for it is "Fusobacteria bacterium partial 16S ribosomal RNA". It matches the Rfam family "Bacterial small subunit ribosomal RNA", at positions 355 to 776 of the family's 1533-position model. The record is from RNAcentral. Lineage: Bacteria; Fusobacteriati; Fusobacteriota.
UGAGGAAUAUUGGUCAAUGGGCGAGAGCCUGAACCAGCCAAGUCGCGUGAAGGAAGACAGUCCUAAGGAUUGUAAACUUCUUUUAUACGGGAAUAACGGGCGAUACGAGUAUUGCAUUGAAUGUACCGUAAGAAUAAGCAUCGGCUAACUCCGUGCCAGCAGCCGCGGUAAUACGGAGGAUGCGAGCGUUAUCCGGAUUUAUUGGGUUUAAAGGGUGCGUAGGUUGUUCGGUAAGUCAGCGGUGAAACCUGAGCGCUCAACGUUCAGCCUGCCGUUGAAACUGCCGGGCUGGAGUUCAGUGGCGGCAGGGGGAAUUCGUGGUGGAGCGGUGAAAUGCAUAGAUAUCACGAGGAACUCCGAUUGCGAAGGCAGCUUGCCAUACUGCGACGGACACUGAAGCACGAAGGCGUGGGUAUCAAACAGG